UUGCACAAUAGUUGUUUGGACUAUAAUUUAUGUAAGAUAACAUCAAUUGUGUGCCAACGUGUCCGUGGUCGAGUGCCAGCUCUCCACGUGUGAAAGUCCCUUAACGUCUGAUCAGCAGGUUGUCUGAGCAGCCCCCGCUAGUACUUGAAGCACCACGUGCUACAUCAGAGGGGCCAGGAAGGAAAUUCACAUCUUGAAUUCCAUUCCACUCAAUCACAUCAACCUGUAAAUUCAGAGGAAGGAAAAAAAGGAAAGCAAACAUUCUUUUCAAAAGGACUUUUGAAAAAGGGGUGUUGUCUCCAGUGGUUCGAGGGGCAUUGGCUCCUGCUUUCCUCUCCAGCGGCAGGUGUGGACAACAGGGUGCAUUCUGAGCACAGAGGCUGAGCCAGCCUGACGUUCCCUACAGGCAGCCAGCGGGAGGGCCACGUGCUUUUCCUGUCGAAGCCCCACUCCCCCUGUGCUGGCUGGUGAUAGAGAGGCACAUCAGUCCUCUUUUCAGAAGCAAGGCCUUGUAUUUGUUUUGUGUCUUAUUUUAUGGACUGGGUCUUCAAAGACAACAUUUAAUAAUAAAGAUUACAGAGGUGACCUACCUGUGUUCCUGAUGGAGGCCUCCUUUGGCUUCUUAUAUCUGUUGUUGGUUGUUUGUGGCAAAGAGGCAAUCAUGUUGGGACAGUUUUCUUCUUUUUCUAGUUAACUAAGAGUAUUUAGCAAGGUUGAGUGUUGAGAUAAUAAAAUGUCUUUUCAAGUGA
This is a long non-coding RNA of Choloepus didactylus (southern two-toed sloth), 749 nucleotides long. RefSeq lists it as uncharacterized. The transcript is spliced from 2 exons. NCBI's taxonomy places the organism in Eukaryota, Metazoa, Chordata, Mammalia, Pilosa, Megalonychidae. The record is from RefSeq and is a predicted model, not a curated record.